AGUGAACGCUGGCGGUAGGCCUAACACAUGCAAGUCGAACGGCAGCACAGUAAGAGCUUGCUCUUACGGGUGGCGAGUGGCGGACGGGUGAGGAAUACAUCGGAAUCUACUUUUUCGUGGGGGAUAACGUAGGGAAACUUACGCUAAUACCGCAUACGACCUACGGGUGAAAGCAGGGGAUCUUCGGACCUUGCGCGAUUGAAUGAGCCGAUGUCGGAUUAGCUAGUUGGCGGGGUAAAGGCCCACCAAGGCGACGAUCCGUAGCUGGUCUGAGAGGAUGGUCAGCCACACUGGAACUGAGACACGGUCCAGACUCCUUCGGGAGGCAGCCGUGGGGAAUCUUGGAGAAUGGGCGCAAGCCUGAUCCCGCCAUACCGCGUGGGUGAAGAAGGCCUUCGGGUUGUAAAGCCCUUUUGUUGGGAAAGAAAACCAGCAGGUUAAUACCCCGCUGUUCUGACGGUACCCAAAGAAUAAGCCCCGGCCAACUUCGUG
Molecule: ribosomal RNA, 492 nt
Filed under: uncultured bacterium
Lineage: Bacteria
Description: partial 16S ribosomal RNA
Rfam family: Bacterial small subunit ribosomal RNA
Source: RNAcentral